GUAGUUAGCCGGGGCUUCCUCCUUGGCUACCGUCACUUUCUUCGUCACCAAGGACAGAGGUUUACAAUCCGAAGACCUUCUUCCCUCACGCGGCGUUGCUGGGUCAGGCUUGCGCCCAUUGCCCAAUAUUCCCCACUGCUGCCUCCCGUAGGAGUCUGGACCGUGUCUCAGUUCCAGUGUGGCCGAUCAGCCUCUCAGCUCGGCUACCCAUCGUUGGCUAGGUGGGCCGUUACCCCGCCUACUACCUAAUGGGACGCGAACCCCUCCUUCUGCGGAUUGCUCCUUUGACCUCUGAACCAUGCGGCUCUGUGGUCUUAUGCGGUAUUAGCACUUGUUUCCAGGUGUUAUCCCCCUCAAAAGGGCAGGUUGUUCACGCGUUACUCACCCGUUCGCCACUAACUACAAAUCCGAAAACCUGUAGUCCGUUCGACUUGCAUGUGUUAGGCACGCCGCCAGCGUUCGUCCUGAGCCAGGAUCAAACUCUGA
RNAcentral lists this ribosomal RNA (486 nucleotides) under uncultured bacterium. RNAcentral describes it as "partial 16S ribosomal RNA". The record is from RNAcentral.